RNAcentral lists this ribosomal RNA (497 nucleotides) under uncultured bacterium. RNAcentral's name for it is "partial 16S ribosomal RNA". It matches the Rfam family "Bacterial small subunit ribosomal RNA", at positions 28 to 507 of the family's 1533-position model. The record is from RNAcentral.
GAUGAACGCUGGCGGCGUGCCUAAUACAUGCAAGUCGAGCGAACAGACGAGGAGCUUGCUCCUCUGACGUUAGCGGCGGACGGGUGAGUAACACGUGGAUAACCUACCUAUAAGACUGGGAUAACUUCGGGAAACCGGAGCUAAUACCGGAUAAUAUAUUAAACCGCAUGGUUCACUAGUGAAAGACGGUUUUGCUGUUACUUAUAGAUGGUUCCGCGCCGCAUUAGCUAGUUGGUAAGGUAACGGCUUACCAAGGCAACGAUGCGUAGCCGACCUGAGAGGACGAGCAGCCACACGGGAACGGAGACAAGGCACAGACUCCUACGGGAGGCAGCAGUGGGGAAUUGUGGACAAUGGGCGAAAGCCUGAUCCAGCAAUGCCGCGUGCGGGAAGAAGGGCUUCGGAUUGUAAAAGGCUUUUGUACGGAACGAAAAGGCUCUGGCUAAUACCUGGUGCUGAUGAAGGUACCGGAAGAAUAAGCACCGGCUAACUACGUG